ACCGCUUACAAAGGCAGGCAGCAGAACCUAACCACCAACGCGGCUAUAGCCAGGACUGGGAAAGGAAGUUAUUGAAGCCUGGAUUUCCUGCCUUUGCUUGUAGCCAAGAACUAUGAGGCUUGUAGUGGUUUCAGGAACUGACUCAUCUCAUGAUUCAUGGAUAAGAUACUGCUUUUAAUAUGUUUCUGACCCUAAGAUUCAGGAAAAUCAAAACCAGUCUGAACCUAUGCUUCACUCUUAUUUGCAAAUGAAUAUUCACAGCAAAAUAAACAGGAGGACAACGGUUACCGAAACAAUGAAAACAUCAUGCCAGUGGCAGGAAAAGUGGAAUGCAGGCAUCACAUGGGAAGCCGUCAUCAAAGCUUAAUCCAUGGGCUGCGACUUAACAGCGUUUCAACUUCCCAAAAGUGGAUAACAGGUCACAGGAAGAGCCAUAGCAGAGGAUUCCCAACCAGGACUUCCUUCCACACGAGCUAGAAGUGGAGAGACCAAGACCCAGCACUUGGAGGACCCUCAAAUGCCUUCUCCCAGUGAACCACCCCAACAAGGUAACAGUUCUCCACCAGAGUUCUCAACAACAAAGUCUAGACGCCAUUGUUUUGGUCAGAGCUGAAACACUGGACUGAACACCUCCACUCCUGCCCGAAGUCACUGCCUAAGGCACAUCACAAAAUAACUAAACAGUGGU
Molecule: long non-coding RNA, 688 nt
Filed under: Homo sapiens (human)
Lineage: Eukaryota; Metazoa; Chordata; Mammalia; Primates; Hominidae
Description: HSALNT0172239
Source: RNAcentral